GGACCCGCACAAGUAGUGGAGCAUGUGGUUUAAUUCGAAGAUACGCGCAGAACCUUACCAACACUUGACAUGUUCGUCGCGACUCUAAGAGAUUAGAGUUUUCGGUUCGGCCGGACGAAACACAGGUGCUGCAUGGCUGUCGUCAGCUCGUGUCGUGAGAUGUUGGGUUAAGUCCCGCAACGAGCGCAACCCUCACUUUUAGUUGCCAUCAUUAAGUUGGGCACUCUGAAAGAACUGCCAGUGAUAAGCUGGAGGAAGGUGGGGAUGACGUCAAGUCCUCAUGGCCCUUACGUGUUGGGCUACACACGUGCUACAAUGGUAGGUACAGAGGGAAGCCACCCCCCGCGAGGGGGAGCGGA
This 359-nucleotide ribosomal RNA is filed under the name uncultured bacterium. RNAcentral describes it as "bacterial SSU rRNA". It matches the Rfam family "Bacterial small subunit ribosomal RNA", at positions 917 to 1271 of the family's 1533-position model. The record is from RNAcentral.